RNAcentral lists this ribosomal RNA (447 nucleotides) under uncultured bacterium. RNAcentral describes it as "bacterial SSU rRNA". It matches the Rfam family "Bacterial small subunit ribosomal RNA", at positions 331 to 792 of the family's 1533-position model. The record is from RNAcentral.
CCAGACUCCUACGGGAGGCAGCAGUGGGGAAUAUUGGGCAAUGGAGGCAACUCUUACCCAGCAAUGCCGCGUGAAUGAAGAAGGUCUUCGGAUUGUAAAGUUCUUUCAUUGGGGACGAAAAAAAUGACGGUACCCAAGGAAUAAGCCCCGGCUAACUACGUGCCAGCAGCCGCGGUAAUACGUAGGUGGCAAGCGUUAUCCGGAUUUACUGGGUGUAAAGGGCGAGUAGGCGGGAUUGCAAGUCAGAUGUGAAAACUAUGGGCUCAACCGAUAGAGUGCAUUUGAAACUGCAGUUCUUGAGUGAUGGAGAGGCAGGCGGAAUUCCCGGUGUAGCGGUGGAAUGCGUAGAUAUCAGGAGGAACACCGGUGGCGAAGGCGGCCUGCUGGACUGCGACUGACGUUGAGGCCCGAAAGCGUGGGGAGCAAACAGGAUUAGAUACCCCGGUA